GCUGGCAAGUGUUACUACGCCUCUAGAAAGUAAGCCAAAGUGAAAAAAAAGGGAAUCUUAACUACAUGCAGGAAAGGAUUACUGAAAUAUACUGUCCUCUUUGUUUCCUGGAAAACUGAAACUGCAUUUAUGGCCUCCGACCUUUGGAAAGAUGGCCCCAGAAGAAAACCAGCUACCUAAGAGUUAAUAUAUGCAACGUACUGACACCAGAAGAUCUAACUAAGUCAGAAUGUCUCAGUUACAGUCCAGAUUUCUAUUUAUUACCUACCUCACCGAGAAAGACAAGUAAAGAAUAACUGAUAAAAAAGAAAGAGGGGACAUGAUAUCUAGCCCACAAAAUCCAUAAUAAAGUAGAGAAGUGCUGAGGAUCUUCCAGUUCACCGAGUGCAUUGUGGAUGGCAUGAGCAUGCCUUUCCCCUCUGCUUGCCUGAUGCCAAGGGUCGGACAGGUCAUCCUGAGCCAUGGUUUGAAGACCAGAAGAGGAACUGUUCUAGUCCUUCAGUGCCGUUUCUAUCAAGAUAAAGUCCCAGACCAGCCCCCAAGUUACAGCCAUGGAAACAAAUACUGAUGGGGAGAUGCUGAGCACGUUACGUGAGCCCACACAGGACCUCAGUAAGCACUUAAGAAAUCCUAGCUCUUUGGGCAUUUUUCAGGUGCUCAAAUUCCCUUUCCUCUCUUGUAAAGCACUUUGAAUGUUGUCCUGGAUGGUUCACGGAGUGGCUCUGACCUUAGCGUGCCUCCAAGGUGUAAAGCUCUGUUGUCACGGUUGCCUUCAUGUGACAUUCAUGGCUACAGCUCUUUCACCUGACCCUGGGGUGGAUAUGGUCAUGCCCACGUUCAAUGCCGUGUGUUGGAUGCUGGCUUCCCCAAGGCUCAAUUUGAGCUGUCAGUCUGGAGGAGUCAUGUUGUGCAAUGGUGUUAGAGCACAGUGAUGGUGUUCGUGCAGUCGAGCUCAAGAUAAAUAUCUGGGAAGAAAACUGCCCUGUGAUGGUAGCUCCGUGCAUACCUCCUUUGGGACAAAAGGUGCUUCUCCAGUAGCAUUUCCCCUUGGCCCAGGAGUGCCCUUUAAGUAAAUUCUCCAUCUGACCCCGCUUACUGUGCUGUGCAGCACGAGGCAAUCUUGGAGCACGCAAAGUGAGUGCUCGUGUGCAGAGUUAACCACGUGAUGCAGCUAGCAGGCUUUCAGUCAAUUGGAGCACACCAGACCUCAUCCAAGUAAGACUCUGACAUGCAGUGACCUAGGCCCAGUCCCUGCUCUUCCGUGCCCAGUGUAGGCGUGCCUUUAUUUACCUGUGUGCCAAGUAAAGUGUGGUCCCCAGGUCCCUAUCCAAGUAGUUAGGGGAAGCUCUUAAUAUGGCUGGGAAGGCAUUUGAAAUAGCCUGAAAAACUUGCAUGAGGAAACUGCACUGGUUUAUGUAUAACUCCAUCAGUUUCUCUCCAAUGGAAAUAAUAUUUCUGAGUUUAAAUGUUAUGUAAAAGAGGUUCUAUAGGGGAAUAUAACAGUCCGGAAAUGUUUUGUUAAGAAAUGCUACUGAUGCAAACCUUUAAAGGGUAACACUGUGCAUGGCUACAAUACCAUAUUCUGUUUAAACUUGUUCAUCAUUGUCUUCUUGCAUGACAGCCCUGGCAUUUAAAAUAUGUUAGGGGUGACACAAUACUUUCACCUGGUGCAGACAUAUAUCACUGGAAGGAUGUUCUCAUAAACAAAGUGCUGCAGGCUAUGA
This is a long non-coding RNA of Anas platyrhynchos (mallard), 1724 nucleotides long. RefSeq lists it as uncharacterized. The record is from RefSeq and is a predicted model, not a curated record. Lineage: Eukaryota; Metazoa; Chordata; Aves; Anseriformes; Anatidae.